CAGCGCCACAAGUGGCAAUCAUUUUUAUUUGGCCUAAAGCGUCCGUAGCUGGUUGAGUAAAUCUCUUGUGAAAUUGUUCAGCUUAACUGAGCAGCGUGCAGGAGAGACUGCUUAGCUAGAGACCGGGAGGAGUCAGAGGUAUGCUGGGGGGAGCGGUAAAAUGCUAUAAUCCUCGGUAGACCACCUGUGGCGAAGGCGUCUGACUAGAACGGGUCUGACAGUAAGGGACGAAAGCCAGGGGAGCAAACCGGAUUAGAUACCCGAGUAGUCC
Molecule: ribosomal RNA, 271 nt
Filed under: uncultured archaeon
Lineage: Archaea
Description: partial 16S ribosomal RNA
Rfam family: Archaeal small subunit ribosomal RNA
Source: RNAcentral